Non-coding RNA from Coregonus clupeaformis (lake whitefish), 618 nucleotides. NCBI's taxonomy places the organism in Eukaryota, Metazoa, Chordata, Actinopteri, Salmoniformes, Salmonidae. The record is from the annotation of a RefSeq genome assembly.
AUGUUCCCUGCAUCUCUGCUGCUGCUGGCAGCUGCCUCCUGUGUUCAGAGUCAGACGCUGAUUGAGUCUGGAUCAGUGGUUAAAAAGACUGGAGAAUCCCACCAACUGACCUGUACAGCCUCUGGUUUAGACAUAAAUGGCUACUGGAUGGCUUGGAUCAGACAGGCUCCUGGGAAAGGACUAGAAUGGGUUGCAGCUAUUACUGGCAGUGAUGGUGGUAGCACUUACUACCCCCAGUCUGUUCAGGGUCGGUUCACCAUCUCCAGACAAAAUAGCAUGAAACAGAUUUUUCUCCAGUUGAACAGCUUGAAGACUGAAGACUCUGCUGUUUAUUAUUGUGCCAGAGACACAGUGACACAAGAGGCUGCAAUGCCAUACAAAAACUGGUCAACACUGAUCUCAUCGGAAUUAACAAGUGCAGCUCCCACCAGUCUAACUUCAACACAAACCAUGUUUCCUGCAUACCUGCUGGUGCUGCUGGCAUGGGCCUCCUGUGUGUUCUGUCAGACUGAGCUCACACAGACAGGCUCUAUGACCCUGCAGCCUGGACAGCCUCUGACCCUCUCCUGUAAGGUCUCUGGGUAUUCUUUAACCAGCACCAGCUACUGUACAGGUUAG